This 1581-nucleotide long non-coding RNA is filed under the name Diabrotica virgifera virgifera (western corn rootworm). RNAcentral describes it as "uncharacterized LOC126887072". Lineage: Eukaryota; Metazoa; Arthropoda; Insecta; Coleoptera; Chrysomelidae. The record is from RNAcentral.
GAUGUCCCACAAAUAGAAUGUUUGCAAAACAAUAAUACCGAUGGCCAUAAUACUGAGACUCCACCAACCUUGGAAGGAAUAGUUGACACUGUUGCAGAGUUUCAACGGACUAUUGAUAGCAAUGUAAUUAAUAGCAAUGUAAUAACAAACACAAUGGAAAAUUUAGUCGCCAAAGAUGCUGCUUCUGAUCCUAUUAAUAUUAAGCAAAAUACAAAACGAUCCAAACGACCCAGACUUAACAAAAAGACAUAUUGUGAAUUUAUCUCCGAUAAUGAAGACCCGUUUUUUAUUUAUGGUUCUAGUUCGUGGAGUGAUACAGGUAACACUGUAACGAUUAGUUAUUACCAUCGUUACUAAAAUAUUUAUUCCAAUAGUAACUAGGUAUGCAACCAACUUUACAGACAAUUGUAUUGAAAGUUGCCGUUGAUCGACGACAAAAUUGGUAACUUUUGGGGAAUUCAGAACCUAGAAGUUGGUUUGUGUGUCGAUACGGCUUCCGGCUGACGUGAUUGUCAUUGAAGAAGGGGCUAUUCGUCACUUCAAUCUCGGCUGUUGUUGAAAUCAGACCCAUCAGCCAUCACGCCAGUGGCCAUUACAGAGAAUAUAAAAUUUUAGUUGAAAUGUUUGAAUAGAAUAUACGUUUACGUGGGAAGAAGUUGUUUUGUUCUUGGUUGUUAAGUGGUUUUGAAAAGAAGAGGUUUUUUUUGUUUUCCAACACCUUUUUGAAGAGUAAUGGCCACUGGUGGAGAUCAAGAUUAAGUCAAUCCUUUUUUUUUGGGAUAUGGCAUAAAUAGAGGAUAAUUUUGAGUUCCUUUGGCAUUGGAUGGAUUUUAUUUUUUGUUUUUUUUUUGGAGAUAGACAGUUUUCCCGGUGCUAGGAAGUACCUCCUUGUCGCACCACAUCGUCGUACCUUCUGGUUGGUGAGAAGUACUCCCCCUAAGGUAGAGGAAACCUGGAAUAUACCUUACUUGGCUCUCCCGCAUCAACUUAACCGGAGUUUGGAGAAGCCACAGGCCUACUGUUUGUAGAAACGACAGGUUUUAUUAUUAAAAUUUACAUUUUCAAUUCUUUUCGUAACAUAUUUCAACUUUAACAUUUUUAAUAACAUAUAUAAUCUUAAUAAUCAAAUAAAUUCAUUUUUCUAAAAUCAAUUAACGUAAUCAUAAUCAAUAUUUUUCUUUUCCACAACUUUUAUAUGUCAUUUUCAUUAUUGUAUUUGCAUUUUAUUUUAUUUAAAAUAGUCCGGAGACCAUAACCUAUCUGGUAAGAUACUGUGCACACUAUCUCGGGUUAUUAUCACAAUAUAUCAGUAUUGUCCGGUGUGUCAUUCCGAUCAGAUGUGGGAUUGUCAACCAAUAUUGUAAUCCUCCUUAAUAAUAAGUUUUUGUACACCCAUAUUUAGAUCCAUUAACUGUCUUGGUAUAAUAAAUUCAAUAUAUUUGCUUUUCUCUACUGUAAUAUCUGUGUAAUAGACAGGAGCGUACUAGCUUAGUACGUCAGGUGGUUAGCUAGUUUGUAUAAAAUUGUAUAUAGGGGUUAUAGGUAUUUUUUUUUCAUUAAAUUUGUUGGUUGUACAUAUAA